GUAGGUGGCAAGCGUUGUCCGGAAUUAUUGGGCGUAAAGCGCGCGCAGGCGGUUCUUUAAGUCUGAUGUGAAAGCCCACGGCUCAACCGUGGAGGGUCAUUGGAAACUGGAGAACUUGAGUACAGAAGAGGAAAGCGGAAUUCCACGUGUAGCGGUGAAAUGCGUAGAGAUGUGGAGGAACACCAGUGGCGAAGGCGGCUUUCUGGUUUGCAACUGACGCUGAGGCGCGAAAGCGUGGGGAGCAAACAGGAUUAGAUACCCUGGUAGUCCACGCCGUAAACGAUGAGUGCUAAGUGCUAGGGGGUUUUCCGCCCCUUAGUGCUGCAGCUAACGCAUUAAGCACUCCGCCUGGGAGUACGGCCGCAAGGCUG
Molecule: ribosomal RNA, 371 nt
Filed under: uncultured organism
Description: partial 16S ribosomal RNA
Rfam family: Bacterial small subunit ribosomal RNA
Source: RNAcentral